This 2374-nucleotide long non-coding RNA is filed under the name Homo sapiens (human). RNAcentral describes it as "HSALNT0339958". The record is from RNAcentral. Lineage: Eukaryota; Metazoa; Chordata; Mammalia; Primates; Hominidae.
UUGGUUUUGUUUUAAAUCAUUGGCCUAAAACGAGUCUUAAAAUCCAGUCUUUUUCUAAAGAGAAACGAGAGGACACAGGCCCGCGUUGCGCUGAGGGUCCCGGCAAUGACUCCGGUGGGGUGCCUGCCCGCUUCCCGCAGAGAAGCCCUCGGGCAGGCGCCGGCAGCAUCCUCUCCCCUGCGUCUCGAGGGCCGCCCUUGAGGAGUUUCAUGCCCAGGGUCGCGGAACCAGUGGCUCCCCAGGCUGUCACCCGGGGUGAGCGCCUGCACCACUCUGCGGCCUUGUUGAUUUUGUCCUAAAAGCCUGAGCGAAAUGGAAAUAUGGGGGGCAGGGGUCUGCUGUUGGCUUGUGAAUGCUCGCCUUUGUCCCUCAGGCGGUCGGCCACCAGCCUGGCAUUCUGUCCCUGCACUGGUCACUCUCAUUUGGCAGGCGGGGCCGCAGACUACAUAGAGGAAGUGUGCCGCGAGUGGGGUUAGGUGCCAGCACGAGGCCUUACAAGGUUCCCGGAUAGCCCUGGCGCACGCCUUGGCCAUCAUAGAGGAGGGAGGGGGACCUGACAGGGCGCGGACGUGCCGGCCCGAGGGUGGAGGCGGGGGUCCCCCAUCCCAGCUGUUCUCCUGGCCCUGCAGCACCCGGGACCCGAAAUAGCAAGUUCACCCUGGGUCACACUUGCGAGAACCAACCCGCACCCCACCCCAGAAAGGGCUCAGUCCGCACCUUUCGAGAACUGCUCGCGGGCCCAGGGAGUCGGCCUAGCGGUCACAUUUCAACCUGGAGCAGCUUCGGAGGAGUUGAGUCUGGGGAGCAGGGGAGAGCGACCUGAUUGGAAGGAGGGUGCCGAAGAGCCCUGGACAGCGGGAGUGCCCGACCCUGCCCAAGAAGGGGCCUGCCCGCGGCCGCGAGGGCUCCGGGCCACCAGCCUCAGCUGCCACCCAGUGCCUGGCCAAGACGCAGGGCCCGGCCUCCGAGGGCCGCGGGCACCGGGGACCUGCGUAGGCCUCUCCGCUGCGCUCCUCUGCGGGGCGCCCUCUCCCUGGCGCGCCUCUGAACCUGGCAUCGAAGCCGCCCGAUAGAUACUUCGAACAAUCCGGGAGAGAAAGAAAAAGAACUCAGUUUGCCCGCGUAAACGCUGCUAGUAACUCUCAGAAGUUUCCUGGUUUCUCGUAAAGGUGGCCGGGGCCGUUUACAGUAAGAACGGAAUAAUGUUUGCGACUGUACGACAUAAUUAUCUCCAGACUUGCCUCUACCCCGCCCCCAGCUAGGGUUUUCACCAGCGAAAGCGGCUAAUGCAUUUGCACACAUUAAACAUCUUGAACGCAUAAUUACAGGCUGCAGACAGGCUGGACAAUAAAAUAUCUCGGCUCGAUAUUUUUGGAAGCCUUUUGUGAUGGUGCCUGGAAUAAAUAACAACCGCUUUCUAUGUCCUCAGCCAUCUAACUGCAGCCACCGUUAUUUCAGAACACCCCCACCCCACCUCGGAGGGGCAGAAGUGGGGGACUUCAGCGGAAGGGUGCGGUCGCCUGAAGAGGUCUCCUGAGCCUCGGGUGCGUGUGGGCUUGGAGGACUGGAAUAAGAAGAAAAUAUGUUCCAAGCCCUGAGGGCCCUCUUCCUCAUUAGAGGCACACAAGUGGGGCCCUCUAGGCCCCACACCCUCUGGGCGCGUGCCCUCCCUGACUCCCUACGCCAAGACUAAAAAAUUUGAAGACUCAGACCACAUGUUCCUACCUCACAAUCUCUCUAAAAAGAGCCUCUCUAUACUGAACCGGCUCCUGUCACCUGAGAAAUCUGCUGGAAAAGAAAGCUGGAUAUUGAAGCAGCAAGACCCAGAGGAAGAAGCUGCUGUCCUCUUUGGAGCUCGAUGGGGUGGCCCUGGGCCUGGCCCCCACCCAGGCCUGACAGAGGCAGGAGGGUAUGGCGGGGGCCUAGGGCUUUGCCCCAGACCUUGGACCCCGCAGCGUCUGCCAGGAGACGUCGGAGGAAACGCUUUUACCACCUGGGCGACCUUGACUGCAGCCGAUUAAAGUUUAAUCCGAGGUGUGUGCUCAGACUUGCCAUGUUAUUUAAACACAUCAAAGGUCAUAAAAAGAUUCCAAUGGCGUGAGCCGCUCCGACGCGGGCCCGCAGGGAGCCAGCAUUUGAUUCUGGUGGAUUUCCAGAGCCAGGAUUUAGAGCGCAGGGCGGGAAGGGGAGUAUAGGAAAAAAAGGGAAAAGCCAGCUUUCACAGAGGAAUGCUAGACUUCAAAAAGCGGCAGGGGAAACCGAGUCUCGGCCCGAGGAGCAGAGACAGCGCCCUUGAGUUCCGAUUAACUGGGAAGACAUCUAGUGGGAAGAGGUCGCAACUGCAGCGGUGUCCUGCGAGCAUCCUCCGCCGCCG